RNAcentral lists this ribosomal RNA (326 nucleotides) under uncultured eukaryote. RNAcentral describes it as "partial 18S ribosomal RNA". It matches the Rfam family "Eukaryotic small subunit ribosomal RNA", at positions 1470 to 1796 of the family's 1831-position model. The record is from RNAcentral.
CCCUUAGAUGUUCUGGGUCGCACGCGCGCUACACUGAUGCAUUCAACGAGCCUAGCCUUGACCGAGAGGUCCGGGUAAUCUUUGAAACUGCAUCGUGAUGGGGCUAGAUUAUUGCAAUUAUUAAUCUUCAACGAGGAAUGCCUAGUAAGCGUGAUUCAUCAAAUCGCGUUGAUUACGUCCCUGCCCUUUUUACACACCGCCCGUCGCUCCUACCGAUUGAGUGUGUUGGUGAGGAGUUCGGAUUGGCAGCAGGUGGUGGUUCGCCACCGCCUAUUGCUGAGAAGUUCUCCAAACCGCCCCACUUAGAGGAAGGAGAAGUCGUAACA